UGAAUGGUGGAUCUUGCACAGAUAGGC
Molecule: non-coding RNA, 27 nt
Filed under: Mus musculus (house mouse)
Lineage: Eukaryota; Metazoa; Chordata; Mammalia; Rodentia; Muridae
Source: RNAcentral